UUUGAUCCUGGCUCAGGAUGAACGCUAGCGACAGGCUUACCNUAUGCAAGUCGAGGGGCAGCGGGGGUGCAGGCUUGCCUGCACCUGCCGGCGACCGGCGCACGGGUGAGUAACACGUAUGGAACCUGCCCGCCACAGGGGGAUAACCCGGGGAAACCCGGCCUAAUACCCCAUGCCGCCCGGACCGGGCAUCCGGACCGGGCGAAAGGAGGGAUCCGGUGGCGGCUGGGCAUGCGGCGCAUUAGCUUGACGGCGGGGUAACGGCCCACCGUGGCGACGAUGCGUAGGGGUUCUGAGAGGAAGGCCCCCCACACUGGAACUGAGAUACGGUCCAGACUCCUACGGGAGGCAGCAGUGAGGAAUAUUGGUCAAUGGGCGGAAGCCUGAACCAGCCAAGUCGCGUGAGGGAAUAAGGCCCUACGGGUCGUAAACCUCUUUUGCCGGGGAGCAAGGGCCGGGACGAGUCCCGGUCCGGAGAGUACCCGGAGAAAAAGCAUCGGCUUAACUCCGUGCCAGCAGCCCGCGGUAAUACGGAGGAUUGCGAGGCGUUAUCCGGAUUUUAUUGGNUUUAAAGGGUGCGUAGGCGGGCUUUUUAAGUCAGCGGUAAAAAUUCGGGGCUCAANCCCCGUCCGGCCGUUGAAAACUGGGGGCCUUGAGUGGGCGAGAAGAAGGCGGAAUGCGUGGUGUAGCGGUGAAAUGCAUAGAUAUCACGCAGAACCCCGAUUGCGAAGGCAGCCUUCCGGCGCCCUACUGACGCUGAGGCACGAAAGUGCGGGGAUCGAACAGGAUUAGAUACCCUGGUUAGUCCGCACAGUAAACGAUGGGAUGCCAGCUGUCCGGGCCGAAUGGGGNCCUGGGUGGCAAAAGCGAAAGCGUUAAGCAUCCNNCCUGGGGGAGUUACGCCNGCAACGGGUGAAAACUCAAAGGNAAUUUGACGGGGGGCCCCGCNACAANGCGGAAGGAACAUGUNGGUUUUAAUUUCGAUNAUNNCNCGAGGNAACCUUACCCNGGGCUCAAACCNCNNUCAGGGAUNCCCNUCUNAAANGAGGGGAGUCAGCAAUGACCUGGCGCGAGGUGCUGCAUGGUUGUCGUCAGCUCGUGCCGUGAGGUGUCGGCUUAAGUGCCAUAACGAGCGCAACCCCUACCGACAGUUGCUAACUGGUGAAGCAGAGGACUCUGUCGGGACUGCCGGCGCAAGCUGCGAGGAAGGCGGGGAUGACGUCAAAUCAGCACGGCCCUUACGUCCGGGGCGACACACGUGUUACAAUGGCAGGUACAGCGGGAAGCCACCGGGCGACCGGGCGCGGAACCCGAAAACCUGUCUCAGUUCGGAUCGGAGUCUGCAACCCGACUCCGUGAAGCUGGAUUCGCUAGUAAUCGCGCAUCAGCCACGGCGCGGUGAAUACGUUCCCGGGCCUUGUACACACCGCCCGUCAAGCCAUGGGAGCCGGGGGUGCCUGAAGUCCGUGACCGCAAGGGGCNGNANUAGGGUAAAANCCGGUGANCUGGGGCUAAGUCGUAACAAGGUAACCG
RNAcentral lists this ribosomal RNA (1533 nucleotides) under uncultured bacterium. Its description in RNAcentral is "bacterial SSU rRNA". It matches the Rfam family "Bacterial small subunit ribosomal RNA". The record is from RNAcentral.